CCUACGGGUGGCAGCAGUGAGGAAUAUUGGUCAAUGGGCGGAAGCCUGAACCAGCCAAGUAGCGUGCAGGAUGACGGCCCUACGGGUUGUAAACUGCUUUUAUACGGGAAUAACGCGCCUUACGUGUAGGGCUUUGCAUGUACCGUAUGAAUAAGGACCGGCUAAUUCCGUGCCAGCAGCCGCGGUAAUCCGGAAUGUCCGGGCGUUACCCGGAUUGAUUGGGUGUAAAGGGAGCGUAGGCCGCAUGUCAAGUGUGCUUUGAAAUGUCCGGGCUGAACCCGGGCCUUGCAGCGCGAACUGGCGGGCUUGAGUCGGCAGAAAGCAGGCGGAAUUCGUCGUGUAGCGGUGAAAUGCUUAGAUAUGACGAAGAACCCCGAUUGCGAAGGCAGCUUGCUGCAGCGGAACUGACGCUGAUGCUCGAAAGCGCGGGUAGCGAACAGGAUUAGAUACCCGGGUAGUC
RNAcentral lists this ribosomal RNA (460 nucleotides) under uncultured bacterium. RNAcentral's name for it is "partial 16S ribosomal RNA". It matches the Rfam family "Bacterial small subunit ribosomal RNA", at positions 338 to 795 of the family's 1533-position model. The record is from RNAcentral.